UACGUAGGGUGCAAGCGUUGUCCGGAAUUAUUGGGCGUAAAGAGCUCGUAGGCGGUUUGUCGCGUCUGCUGUGAAAACUCGGGGCUUAACCCCGGGCCUGCAGUGGGUACGGGCAGACUAGAGUGCGGUAGGGGAGACUGGAAUUCCUGGUGUAGCGGUGAAAUGCGCAGAUAUCAGGAGGAACACCGGUGGCGAAGGCGGUUCUCUGGGAAUGACCUGACGCUGAGGAGCGAAAGUGUGGGGAGCGAACAGG
RNAcentral lists this ribosomal RNA (253 nucleotides) under uncultured bacterium. Its description in RNAcentral is "partial 16S ribosomal RNA". It matches the Rfam family "Bacterial small subunit ribosomal RNA", at positions 524 to 776 of the family's 1533-position model. The record is from RNAcentral.